GGAAGAUGGUGCAUGCCAUUGGCGGAUGGGUGAGUAACGCGUAAGAAACCUGCCUUUCACACCGGGAUAGCAGCUGGAAACGGCUAUUAAUACCGGAUGAUACUUUUCUGACGCAUGUUAGGAAGGUCAAAGAAUUUCGGUGAAAGAUGGUCUUGCGUCUGAUUAGCUAGUUGGUGGGGUAACGGCCUACCAAGGCGACGAUCAGUAGCCGGCCUGAGAGGGUGUACGGCCACAUUGGGACUGAGACACGGCCCAAACUCCUACGGGAGGCAGCAGUGGGGAAUUUUGCACAAUGGAGGAAACUCUGAUGCAGCGACGCCGCGUGAACGAAGAAGGUUUUCGGAUCGUAAAGUUCUGUCCUGGGUGAAGAUAAUGACGGUAACUCAGGAGGAAGCCCCGGCUAACUACGUGCCAGCAGCCGCGGUAAUACGUAGGGGGCGAGCGUUGUUCGGAAUUAUUGGGCGUAAAGGGUACGUAGGCGGCUCGUUAAGUUUGGCGUUAAAUUCCGGGGCUCAACCCCGGCAAGCGUUGAAAACUGGCGAGCUUGAGUAGUAGAGGGGACAGUGGAAUUCCUAGUGUAGCGGUGAAAUGCGUAGAGAUUAGGAAGAAUACCGGUGGCGAAGGCGACUGUCUGGAUACAUACUGACGCUGAGGUACGAAAGCGUG
This 666-nucleotide ribosomal RNA is filed under the name uncultured bacterium. RNAcentral's name for it is "bacterial SSU rRNA". It matches the Rfam family "Bacterial small subunit ribosomal RNA", at positions 79 to 763 of the family's 1533-position model. The record is from RNAcentral.